UGUCCUACGGGGGGCAGCAGUGAGGAAUAUUGGUCAAUGGGCGCGAGCCUGAACCAGCCAAGUCGCGUGAGGGAAGACGGUCCUAUGGAUUGUAAACCUCUUUUGUCGGGGAGCAAAAGACGCCACGCGUGGCGUUCCGAGAGUACCAGAAGAAAAAGGAUCGGCUAACUCCGUGCCAGCAGCCGCGGUAAUACGGAGGAUGCGAGCGUUAUCCGGAUUUAUUGGGUUUAAAGGGUGAGAAGGCGGAAGAUGAAGUCAGAGGUAAAAUUGAGAGGCUCAACCUCUUCGAGACGUUGAAACUGGUU
RNAcentral lists this ribosomal RNA (305 nucleotides) under uncultured bacterium. RNAcentral's name for it is "bacterial SSU rRNA". It matches the Rfam family "Bacterial small subunit ribosomal RNA", at positions 335 to 638 of the family's 1533-position model. The record is from RNAcentral.